RNAcentral lists this ribosomal RNA (465 nucleotides) under Vreelandella stevensii. RNAcentral's name for it is "partial 16S ribosomal RNA". It matches the Rfam family "Bacterial small subunit ribosomal RNA", at positions 338 to 795 of the family's 1533-position model. The record is from RNAcentral. Lineage: Bacteria; Pseudomonadati; Pseudomonadota; Gammaproteobacteria; Oceanospirillales; Halomonadaceae.
CCUACGGGUGGCAGCAGGGGGGAAUAUUGGACAAUGGGGGGAACCCUGAUCCAGCCAUGCCGCGUGUGUGAAGAAGGCCCUCGGGUUGUAAAGCACUUUCAGUGAGGAAGAACGCCUGGUGGUUAAUACCCAUCAGGAAAGACAUCACUCACAGAAGAAGCACCGGCUAACUCCGUGCCAGCAGCCGCGGUAAUACGGAGGGUGCGAGCGUUAAUCGGAAUUACUGGGCGUAAAGCGCGCGUAGGUGGCUUGAUAAGCCGGUUGUGAAAGCCCCGGGCUCAACCUGGGAACGGCAUCCGGAACUGUCAAGCUAGAGUGCAGGAGAGGGAGGUAGAAUUCCCGGUGUAGCGGUGAAAUGCGUAGAGAUCGGGAGGAAUACCAGUGGCGAAGGCGGCCUUCUGGACUGACACUGACACUGAGGUGCGAAAGCGUGGGUAGCAAACAGGAUUAGAUACCCCAGUAGUC